GACGAACGCUGGCGGCGUGCUUAACACAUGCCAGUCGAACGGAAAGGCCUGCUUUCCCUUGUGGAUUGCGGGUACUCGAGUGGCGAACGGGUGAGUAACACGUGAGUGAUCUGCCCCCAACUUGGGUAUAAGCCUGGGAAACUGGGUCUAAUUCCCGAUAGGACUGCAGGGUGGUGCCUGUGGUGGAAAACGAUUUUCUAGUGGUUGGGGAUGAGCUCGCGGCCUAUCAGCUUGUUGGUGGGGUAAUGGCCUACCAAGGCGGCGACGGGUAGCCGGCCUGAGAGGGUGGACGGCGACAUUGAGACUGGGAUACGGCCCAGACUCCUACGGGAGGCAGCAGUGGGGAGUAGUGGAGAGUGGGCGGAAGCCUGAUGCAGCGAGGCCGCGUGGGGGAUGACGGGCUUCGGGUUGUAAACUCCUUUCGACCGCGAGGAAGCCACCUGGUUGGAAGGGUGGUGACGGUAGUGGUAGAAGAAGCACCGGCUAACUACGUG
RNAcentral lists this ribosomal RNA (494 nucleotides) under uncultured bacterium. RNAcentral's name for it is "partial 16S ribosomal RNA". It matches the Rfam family "Bacterial small subunit ribosomal RNA", at positions 28 to 507 of the family's 1533-position model. The record is from RNAcentral.